AAUAAUGCCUUCUUCUCCACCACUGAAAUCAGAUAAAAAUAACAACAUUCUUAACUAUUUUUUUUUAUUACUUAUUUAUUAAAAGUGUGGGUUGUAUCCAAUGAUUAAAAGAGCAUUUAAAAUUCUUACUUUCACCUGAUUUAGUCUGGUUAAAAAGAUGAUAACUCUUUUUAUCAAACAAAAUUUAACUCAAUUAGAAAUCAUUUCAGAAUUAUUUAUUUUAAAUUGCUUUAAAAUUUUUAAUUUUACUGUAUAAAAGAUAGUACGAAAA
This 271-nucleotide unclassified non-coding RNA is filed under the name Hevea brasiliensis (rubber tree). Lineage: Eukaryota; Viridiplantae; Streptophyta; Magnoliopsida; Malpighiales; Euphorbiaceae. The record is from RNAcentral.